UACGUAGGUGGCAAGCGUUGUCCGGAUUUACUGGGUGUAAAGGGCGUGCAGCCGGGCCGACAAGUCAGAUGUGAAGUCCCGCGGCUCAACCGCGGAACUGCAUUUGAAACUGUCAGUCUUGAGUACCGGAGAGGUCAUCGGAAUUCCUUGUGUAGCGGUGAAAUGCGUAGAUAUAAGGAAGAACACCAGUGGCGAAGGCGGAUGACUGGACGGCAACUGACGGUGAGGCGCGAAAGCGUGGGGAGCAAACAGG
RNAcentral lists this ribosomal RNA (253 nucleotides) under uncultured bacterium. Its description in RNAcentral is "partial 16S ribosomal RNA". It matches the Rfam family "Bacterial small subunit ribosomal RNA", at positions 524 to 776 of the family's 1533-position model. The record is from RNAcentral.